Molecule: RNA transcript, 552 nt
Organism: Arabidopsis thaliana (thale cress)
Lineage: Eukaryota; Viridiplantae; Streptophyta; Magnoliopsida; Brassicales; Brassicaceae
Exons: 2
Source: RefSeq
UUGCGCUUUAACACAUCUGUUUAUGUUACUGUAUUCAUUUAUAGCAAAGACUGGCUCUGCUUCUUGUAGAAUGUUCUGUAUCCGAUGAGUAGUAUAUAUCAUAUUUGCAUGCGUAGAUGUUGCAGCUGGGAGAGUUAACGCAGUCGAUUUCUUGCUCAGAGGCAAGACUUCCUUCAGAGUACUUUUCUCUUGGCAAGAGCAUUCCAAGAUUAUAAGAGACUCAAACUCAAUUCCAAUUGAACUCGUUGAGUCCUUAACUACAUUCAAGUGAUGAAUUUGUUCAAGAUGAGGUGCCGCCCUUCUGGGAAAACGAUCUUCAGAGUAUUAUUCAGAUGGGUUUCGAGAGAUAGUCAGCAACAGAGCAACAACUGUAUGCAAAACGAAACAAAAAGCAACAACAUAUGUCUUGUUUUAAGAUGUCUAAUAUCUACUAUAUGAGUAUGACAUUCCCAUUUGGUUGUAUAUUGCAUAGGUUCGGAACUUGUGAAAAUUGAGCCAAACAAAUGGUGAACGAAGAACGGUACGGAGUUAUUAAUAGUCUCUGGAAGUAAU